AAUAUUAUCGUUUUCUAAGGGGAUAAUAUGAGAUUUAUCUAAUAAUAAAUAUGAAUUGUUUUUGAAGAUUCGUAUAUUGAAUUUGACAUAUUGGUUUUGUUAUAAUGUUUGAGAAGCCAUUUAAUAACUGAUACGAAUUUGUAAGGCCCAAUACUAAUGUUUGAGACAAAUUUUAACACUGCGAGUAAUUGUUCAUACCGAAAUUUAAUUUUUCAUAUAUCAGCCAUAAUAAGUUGCGACGGAUAUUGGGUUGCACUUUAAGUCUUAGCAGUGCUUUUAAUGCAUCAGAUUUUUGUAAUAUUCUUUUAAAAAUAUAGAUUAAAGAAUUUUUAAGUAGAUAUAUUUAAGAAAGAGUUAUGCUCACAUACAUAGUUGGAAUUUAUAAUUUACGCCCCAAAUAAUAUGAGAUAUGAUGUGUCAACAUUUAAUUAGUGAUGCAAUACUAUCUAAUCAACAACUAAAGCCAAUUGGCGCCUGCGAUAUGUUAAUUAAUUACUAAUAUUGUAUAUUUACUCAAGAAACUGGUGGAAAUGACAGAUGAAAUAAUCCAUUUUUAGCCUUUGAUGAUUUUCUAUCCAAAAUCUGGUGUGGGCAGUAACUCCACACCAGAGGCCAUUUGGGCCUUCAAUGUGAAUGUGUGGCACUGUGGCUCAUCACGUGAACAAGCAAAAAUUAUAUAGAAGAAAAAGAAGAAUAAAAAGAAAUUUUAUUUGAAUUUAUGAUAUGAUUAGUAAUGCUAAUUCAUGUAAUGUUAUUUGAAAAGAAAAGUCAUGCCUGCCAAUUCUUUUUUUUUUUUUUUAUUUAGAAGAAUUCAAAACUUUAAUUUGGGUUAUAAUUUCAUUUACCAUGAUAUGACUAGUAACGCUAAAUCAUAUCAUUAAUGACUUAAUAAUUUAUGUGGUUGGUUUCUUAACACAUGCUAUACAUUCUUUCAACAUAAUUUAUGAUAAAAAUAGAAUCCGUUAUCUUAUUCAUGUCCUAGAUGACUGAUUAAAUUUUAGUCAAGUUUAAGUCUAAAAAAAAUCAAGGUUUUUUUUUUUUUUUUGAAAUUAAUAGUGGUAAAGUUAGUUAAACAUAUGCUUUCAAAAUAAUUCAUUUAGUUGCAACUAAAAACCAUCGCAUUCAUUUAUACAGUCAACAUUGUUGUGCAUAAAAUUAAAUAGUUCAUAAUUUCACACGUCUAACAUUAAUUCUCAAGUAAAAAUGCAGUUCACCCAUUCAUUUAGCUGUAACCUAACCAUGAAUACGCAUGCGUGCUUGUAAAGAGUUACAAAAAUAUUCUUCAUACGGGAUGUUUUCAAUAAAUAUUUUAAGAUAUAAAAAAAAUGCAAGAUGUUCAUUUUAAAACGCCAAAAGAAAAUUAAUAAAAAUUCACCAAGAAGCACAACUUAGAGUCAUAGACAUGUCUCAAUUUUUAAUAUUCAAGCUUGAAGACAUUUACUUAUACAAUCCAAAAAUCAUGCUAAACUUACAAAAUUAAAAAUAUCAAAAUCUUUUAUAAUGUCAAUUUGAGGAUGAAAGAUAGGUUGGCCGAUUAUGUUAAAUUUAAAUUAAAACAAACAAGACACCUGUAAUAAAUAAUUAGAUGAAAAAACUUAUAAUACGAACACAUCAAGGGACAUUACAAAAUUUAUAAAUCGAGUAAAUGUGUCACCUUACACAAACACGAUUUGCUAACUGUUUUAUAACCAUUUAACUUCUUUAAUACAGCAUCACCUCCUUAACCCGCUUAAUAAAAAUUAUUACCAUUUAUAUUAUUGAACAAUCUACAACAUUACAGGGUCUAGCUACCGUGCAACUAUUGCAUGGUAUCCCCUAUUUUGUCUUCUUGUGUUUUCACCGUUAGAUUUAAUGUGGGUGUAGAUUCAACGGUGGGAUGCUAUUGUCUAAUAAUUAACACUAUACUCCCUGUUGUAUACUGAAAUUCUAAAAAAAUCAAACGUUUUGAAAUUCUAACACAUAAAUCCAUAUUGUAUUAAAUUUGUAAAUAAUUUAGAUAAUUAAAAAAAUGGGUAGGUUGUCUCAAGUUAAAAAAUUUGACAUAAACAUAAAUAGCAAUAUCUAACUCUAUUUUUUUUUUUAAUUUAAGGAGUGAGAUAAGUAAUGAUUUCACAUUAAGAUUCAAUUAAGAAAUCAGCUUAAAAAAUAAAACAAGUAUGACAUUACUAAAAUAAAAUAUUAAAUAAAUAACUAUAAAAACUUUGUAUUUUAUCUUCUUUCCUUACACUUUAGUCGCCACUUUAAAAUAUAUGCAGACUAGACUUUAAAUAAAAAAUAACUACAAUACAAUUUAAUUUCAAAGUUAUUAGUUAUUCAAAAAUAACAAAACUUAAACUUUAUCUGUAUAUUUAAACCAAUAUGACAUCAAUGACUUAUAGUUGAUAGAUUUGAUUUGUUAUCUUAAUUUAUUCAAUUGUCGUGACCUCACAAUUGUUAUCCAAAUAUUCAAAUCAAAUUGUUGCAUUUUGUCUUAGUUGUGAUGUGAAAAAUAAUUGAGAUAAUUGAUUAGUUAAUGAUAUUUUUAACUUGAAAGAAGUUGUUGGCUAAUGAUUGAUUAAUUAUCUACUCGGAGAAAAAGGAAACAAAACAUCUAUGGUGUGUUUAUUUCAUGGAAUAAGGAAUGAGAAUGAAACCCAUGUUUACUUGAUAACAUGUAAUUUGGGAAUAAGAAUAAAAUGUGUGGGUCCCACACAAAUUGGGAAUAAGGAAUGAGAAUCACAUUCCCAUUUGGGGGGGUUGGGAAUGAAAAUGAGGGAAUGGGAAUGAAAUAUAUGUUUACUUUUGUAUCUCUCUACUUUUUUCAUAUUUCCCAAAUUACCCUCAUUCAAAUCACAAAUCACAAUUAAUAUUAUUAUUUUA
Molecule: long non-coding RNA, 2859 nt
Filed under: Citrus x clementina
Lineage: Eukaryota; Viridiplantae; Streptophyta; Magnoliopsida; Sapindales; Rutaceae
Description: Citrus clementina (C. clementina) long non-coding RNA (CCLE_LNC003990)
Source: RNAcentral